CAGCCGCCACGGUAAUACGAAGGGUGCAAGCGUUACUCGGAAUCACUGGGCGUAAAGCGUGCGUAGGUGGUGGUUUAAGUCCGUUGUGAAAGCCCUGGGCUCAACCUGGGAAUUGCAGUGGAUACUGGAUCACUAGAGUGUGGUAGAGGAUAGUGGAAUUUCCGGUGUAGCAGUGAAAUGCGUAGAGACCGGAAGGAACAUCUGUGGCGAAGGCGACUAUCUGGGCCAACACUGACACUGAGGCACGAAAGCGUGGGGAGCAAACAGGAUUAGAUACCCGGGUAGUCCCUGUCUCUUAUAC
This 301-nucleotide ribosomal RNA is filed under the name uncultured bacterium. Its description in RNAcentral is "partial 16S ribosomal RNA". It matches the Rfam family "Bacterial small subunit ribosomal RNA", at positions 509 to 807 of the family's 1533-position model. The record is from RNAcentral.